AUGUUAUUUUCAUAUCUUGUUUUUUUUAACAGAGAAAGGGUCUGGAAGGACCCAGAGCAUCCAUUAACUAUCAGCGGAUGCAGUACAGAGCUCAUACCUGGACUCAAAAGAAAAGGAAAUUACAUCAUAGUCCCUGAAACUAAAAAGGAGGACCCCAUCCUGAUGAUUAAGAUUACAAUCGGGUCCAAUACUCAACUCCAGCGUAGAUCCAGUCCGGCCAUCACCGGGGACGUGACCACUUGGGAUCACAGGACCGCCACUACUCCAUCUCCGGACAAAGAUGGAAGAAGAGGACUCCAUGUUGAAGUUGAACAGCUGCCUCUCAAAUGGCAUCAAGCCAGGAGGAAGAAACGAAGCGGCUUCACCAGGCCGCCCUUCGGCCAGAAAGGUCACCGGGGAGGCGUCGGAGACCGGCAGCUCCAGUGGGCGCCGUAG
This 435-nucleotide ribosomal RNA is filed under the name Triticum aestivum (bread wheat). RNAcentral's name for it is "partial small subunit ribosomal RNA". Lineage: Eukaryota; Viridiplantae; Streptophyta; Magnoliopsida; Poales; Poaceae. The record is from RNAcentral.